This 466-nucleotide ribosomal RNA is filed under the name uncultured bacterium. RNAcentral describes it as "partial 16S ribosomal RNA". It matches the Rfam family "Bacterial small subunit ribosomal RNA", at positions 28 to 507 of the family's 1533-position model. The record is from RNAcentral.
GACGAACGCUGGCGGCGUGCUUAACACAUGCAAGUCGAACGGUAAGGCUCCAGCUUGCUGGGGUACACGAGUGGCGAACGGGUGAGUAACACGUGGGUGACCUGCCCUGCACUUCGGGAUAAGCCUGGGAAACUGGGUCUAAUACCGGAUAGGACCAUGGUGUGGAUACUGUGGUGGAGAGUUUUUUCGGUGUGGGAUGGGCCCGCGGCCUAUCAGCUUGUUGGUGGGGUAAUGGCCUACCAAGGCGGCGACGGGUAGCCGGCCUGAGAGGGUGGACGGCCACAUUGGGACUGAGACACGGCCCAGACGCCUACGGGAGGCAGCAGUGGGGAAUAUUGCACAAUGGGCGGAAGCCUGAUGCAGCGACGCCGCGUGGGGGAUGACGGCCUUCGGGGUGUAAAAUCCUUUCACCAUCGACGAAGGGUUUCUGACGGUAGAUGGAGAAGAAGCACCGGCUAACUACGUG